CACGUGUUCUCGAAGUCGGCGUUGAUGCAGAUCUCAUCGCCUUCACAGAAGCCCCUCCUGUCGAUCUGUGCGCUGACAGACACACGGCCGUCGGGGAUGAACAUGCAGGACACCUUCUUCUCCUUCUUAGCAGCAACGGGGGACAGCAGCUCGGGGGUGUUGACGUCCACGGGGUCCAUCACUUCAAAACGUUUCUUCACCUCCUGCGUGGGGAGGGACGGCCGCUCCAGGAGGGCCUUCACCCAAUAAUCCACGCAGCCGUAUUUCCCCUUGAAGGUGGUGCCGAGGGGGCCCUGGGGCAGCUCGAAGCCAAACUUGUACUCGUAUUUAUUGCCCGGCCGGAGGAUUACGGAGCCGUCCUCAUCCUCGGGCUGCUCCUCCAGGCUGAGCACGUCCUCGUAGCGCAGAUACUGCAUCUCCUGCCGGCACUGCUGCGGCCCUUUGGCCCAAUUGACGCGGGCCCUCCCGCACGCCUGGACCCGCACGGCGCUCACGCGGGUCACCUCGGCCACCUCGAGCAGCACGCGGCCCGCCACCUUCUCGCCGCUGCUGUACACCUUGUCGGGCUCCGUCAGCCACACCUGGAACGUCUUCACCUUCCUGAACAUCACCAUGGCUGCGGGGCUGCGGGGAUACCGCGCUGCGUUCCGACCCGGCUCUGCUCCGCGCACCGCCCGCG
Molecule: long non-coding RNA, 679 nt
Filed under: Gallus gallus (chicken)
Lineage: Eukaryota; Metazoa; Chordata; Aves; Galliformes; Phasianidae
Source: RNAcentral